Molecule: long non-coding RNA, 367 nt
Organism: Ceratina calcarata
Lineage: Eukaryota; Metazoa; Arthropoda; Insecta; Hymenoptera; Apidae
Exons: 2
Source: RefSeq, a predicted model, not a curated record
UGAUUAGGUAUUUAUUAAUUUUAUUUCAUCAUUCAGGCUGAGGUCGAUGUAUCCCUGCCUCUGAUCGUUCUCGGCCUGCUGUCCUUCAUACACGCCUUCUUAACUCUCGGCUUACCGGAAACGUUGGACCAAGACCUUCCAGAGACCCUGCAGGAAGGCAACGAUUUUGGCAAAGAGCAGAACUUCUGGUGGAUUCCAUGUAUAUCCUCGAGUAAAAUGUUGAAGAAAUCGUAUAGGAAAAAGAAAGGUCUGUCGAACCCGGCAUUCAACGGCAGCGUACAAAAACUCGACUGCACUAGAUUAUAGCGACUGAUCCGGUCGUGCGAAACUUGCCAAAUCUUUUGUAAAUAUAGUCGUACAAACCUUG